GUCCGUCUGUCCGUCUGUCCAUUCAUCUCAACAUUUUUGGCUCAUGAAUAUUUAUUUUCUAAGGAAUGAAGAAACUCUGUAGCACAUGAUAGGUGCUAAAUAAACUUAGUCGAAUAAACACUUUUGAUUCUUCCUCUAUGUUCCCACAGAAUAUGAUUUCUACUUUAUUGUAAAGCAUAUGCCAUUCUACCUUGGUAUCAGUGAUUCUUCUAACAGGUCAUAAUCUCCUUUAUACUGUCCCAGACAGAAAGCACAAUGCUAUGCACUGAGAAAAGAAAACUAGAAAUUUGAAUUUUUCAUUUUCCUUUCUGAAUAUCUUAAAUAAACAACCAGUAAAUAGAGGUCUCAAUUUCUUCUAUUUCUAAGUUGGAAAUAACACCUAUUUGGUUGAUGCUUAUUGUUUAGCAUCAGAAGUUCAGUAUUUGUAUGUAAUACUGAAACACCAUUUUCCAUUCUGUGACCUCCUAGUAUGUUUCUAACAAUUUUUGGAGAAUUUGAGACUUUUUCAAAAACAAAAUGUGUUUUAAUCCAAUUUUGUCUAUUUACAUUCCCUACCCAUUUUCUUUCUAGGGGAUAAGGGCCAAAGAAAGGAGGAGAAGAGCUCUCAGAAUUUCCAAUUAGCACAUUUAAGCAGUGAAAAUGUAUCAGACCUGACUAGAAUGCAAUGCAUUGUACUAUUAGGACCACUAUUCCAGAUACAGAACCUCAGCUCUCAAUGUGAAAGCCCACCAGAAAGAUGAAUGCUAACUAUGGGAGCAACAGCAGAAGGGAAAACCUUCUGUGCUCGUCUUUGGGUCCAUUUUCAGGAUAUGGAUACUAACUGCUCCAUUUUCUUAUUUGGACCUCUAGGUCUAUCUACUCUUUGUCUUCCGUGAUCUUCCUGGAUGCAUUUUGUGGUCUGCUGAUAUCUAUCUUCAGUGAAGCAUUCCUAAGCAGAAGAAAGCAAGUGCCUGGGAAUAUUAUCUUAGGGAAUAUUCACAGUAAAGAAGUCAGAUAACUCAGAAGAUGAAAAAUGUCAUGUAUCUCCUCUCCAAUAUGGUAAGUAACAGCUGAAAGUUGACUCUGGAUCGUCUGUAUAGUGGGGCAGUAAAGAGCCUAUAAAAUCAUAAAUAAACUCAGACUGGUCUUUAUUUUGGUAUGGUUCCUGUACUUCCAUAUGAAUAAGAGAAUGACUCACCCCCUUGGGAAUUCACAGUACAUCAAACCAAAUUAGGAAGCCAGGCAGCUGUGACCUGGUUUUGUAAGGGCCAAGAAAACUACAGAGUUUCACUGCUGAACCUUGCAACUCAAAAUGAUUCCCUGGUUUACAUGUUCCAUUUGGGACACGGGUGUGCCUUACUGACUCAUAUAAAACUUCACUCUGGGCUUGUGUUUUCUCUUACCUUACCCAGAGUUGUAUGUGAGUAAAUAAAGGCUUGAGUGAUCUUGAGGUGGCAGUUUAUAGGAGGGUAAAAGAAAACAGGAGUUAGAAUAAACAAUGUUAGUCAUUAAAAACUUGGAUGCAAGACUGACCUUAUGCAAUCCCUAAGGUAAAUGCCUAAGAUUUAUUUUAUGUAACUACAGUAAAAAUAACCCUCAUGAAUUGAGUUCUAAUACUAAUGCUCAUUUCAGGUACAUUGAAUUAUAGGAGGGACAGCACGCUAAACUGCUUGUUCUCAGUCUGCUCCAGUAAGUUUUAUUUUUUAUUGUUUUGGGGAUGCCUUUGGGAAGGAUAGGAGGGAUGGUGAUUCUUGAAAUUAGAGGUUGGGAUGAAAGUAUAAGGAAUUUUUUUUUAGUAGAAAGGGAUGUUGAGAACAGGUUAAAAAGAGGCUCUGGUUCCAUUAAUUUAGGAUCUGAUAAUAUUCCUCCAAAUCUGAAAUAUUCACAACCGACCAAAUAGCCAUGAUUUUUGGCAAGUGGUUUAAUUUUCUGUGAAGCCAUUAGGAUAAAAAUUAUGAGAUAUAUUCUAUUUAUUUAUUUUCAUUGGCAAAUCAGCCUUGUUUCUUGAAGAAAAUGGAAACCUGUUUUUAUAGAAGUUUACUGAGGUAGUUUUCCUUGAAAAAAUAAAACCCUUCAGAAUAUCCAGAUGAUGGAUGUAUUAUGGUAUGAAAAUUUUAAUAUAGGGGAACAUCUCAUAAUGGAAACAGCUUAAUAAGCAGGGAAUUUCCAUGCACCGAUUUCUGUAGAAACUCUAAUAUUGUUUUUAUUCAUUGUUUGGUGACAAUGUACUCUUGGCUUUUGUUCAGGAUAAAGCGUACAAAACUGCCUGUUGGGUCUUUUCAUCGUUAUUGUUGCCAUUGGAAGGGCUUUUACCGCCACUUUUGCACUCUACAGUCUCCCGAAUAUAUUCACCCAUGUAAGAAAAGGAUUAAAUUCAACAUAACCCUUGAGAUCUGCAUUCUGCCACAGGGUUAGGAAGAAGAGUGACACAGGAGACAAGUGAUGGUAAGUUGGAAAUAGCCUGUUAUCCAAAAAACUACAGUUAUUUCCUUAAUUUAUACACAAAGAAGAGUGGGACUAAACCAAAAUAUUGUCAUCUAUGCUCACUGACUUUAACAGAGGAUCCUCCUAGAGGCCUGACCACCCCCAAGCUCUUUCUGUCUUACCCUUUGUUAUUCUUUCAAUGAAGCUUGAAAAUGAAUAAGGAACUUGGCUGGCACCUCCCAAGAGAAAAAGAAUUCACCAGUGGCGACUACCAACACCGCAUUGUUUAUCAGAACCUAAAGUUCGGUUGAAAUCCCACAGUGACGUCAUCUCCCAGCACUUACUGAUGAAGCUAGGGACAAUUCCAAGACAUUUUCAAUGGGAUUGGUUACCCUGCGCAGGAAAUGGUCAACCAGCUUGCACUUCAAAGACUUUUCCUCUACUUAGGUUGUGCUUAGCUCUUAAAAGAAGUGGAAAGUAACCUAAAUCACAGACUCAGGCUAAGACAAGUCCUAAAAGGAUUCCAAGAGAACUGCACAUGCUGUGGUUAUUUUUCUAUGGGUUGAUAACUUGAUAUAAUUACUAGCAUUUAGGUGACUCUUUUUCUGAAAUGUAGUUAGGCUUGUGGAGACUUUGGGAAUGGAAAAAAAUUCAGAAUCUAUUAUAUGGGUAACACAAAAAUAGUACUAGAGAGACUAGUCUUUUAGUAGGUAUUGCUGCAAAUGUUUUGAAAAGCAGAUUGUCCACUCUGAUGGGGAAGGUCAUGUAUACCUAGGUGUUGAAAACUAGGAUAAAAAAAAUAACUUCUCAAAAGAUUAAGAGAUCAGAAAUUUAGGAUACUUGUAUUUAGAUGGAAAAAGAAGCAUGGAGAGGACUUGACAUGCUAUAUGCCAGCCAAGGUAUUAAAUAUUUAAACUUUUUCUCAUCCUAUAAUGUAUAAGUUCUGUAUUCUAAUUGGAAAAGAUAUGAAGCAGAUAAAGGCACAUUUUCUAUUUAUAGAAAUGUAUUAUGAUCUUGAAUUCUCUUUGCCAAUGAAAUUUUUGGAUUACACUAAAAAUAUUCUUAUGAAAUUAUUAUUUAAGAAAAUGACCAAGCUAAAAUUAGUGAAGGCUCAUCAUAGCCAUUAAAAACACCUGAAUGUUUCAACAUUAUGAUAAUUAAGACAAGAGUAUAGCCUUUUAGAGCUAGGAGACCUAGGUUUAAGUUUUUCUUAUUUAUAAAAUAAGGAUAGCAAUAUUUACUUUAAGGAUUUGUUGUGAAGAUGAAAUAAGCUAAUUUUAAAGCGCUCUGUAAACAGUCGUGGUAGUAAUGAUAAUAAUAAUGAAAACAACAUGUUAUGUCCUGUGUUAACUCCUUUAAUUUUUACAACUCCUUUGUGGACCAGAUACUAUCCUAAACAACCCUUUAACAUAUAAAGUCAAAGAUGGAAAGGUUAAAUAAUUUGCUCAAAGUCAUUUGGUUAGUAAAUGGCAGAGUCAGAAUUCAAAUUCUCUUCUAUUAUGAGUUGCUUCUGCCCAUACAAUGCAUAUUGAAAUAUUAGGAAAAAGAAUAUAUAGUGUGCUUUGCCUAAAGACCGUCUGUGUAAUAAAUACAAGACAAUCUAACAAGACUUAUGUAGUCACAGUAGGGAUGUACCACUGGCAUGUUGAGAGAAAAUAAAUCUAUAUGUGGUUGCAGAGACUAAUAGAGCAGUUCACAGUGAGGACACGAUUACUUAAGUGUAGAAAUUUUUCAUAACAUUUUAUUGGGUGGCAGUAUCGUAAAUAUUUCUUUUUUCUUAGCAAAGUUCAGGAAGUCAUAAUAAGCCACAGAGUUACAGUGGUAACAUCUGGAAGACUGGUUCCUUAGGUGAGCCUCCUAAAAGGCCUCUUGUUAAGUCAAAAUGAACAAAGCAUUCAUUAUCUGCUGCCCUUUAUUUCCAUUGAAACUGAAGACUUUCAAAAAAGGAGGCGUUUGGUAGCACAAGUGGAAAGAUUGGCUUGGAUUGUCCUCCACCUCCUAUUAUAACCAAAAGAGUUCUUUUAUUUUGAGGAGACAUUAAUGAUUCUUUCCACAAGCUGAACACAUAUUUACCCUGGAGAAUAACCCCCAUACUCAGCUGACCUGAAAAAGUGAUAUAAUAAUAUUUUGAUACUUUCAUAUUUCCCCUUAUUAGGAAUAAUAAUUUGGGGAGUUUUUUUAAAUGAAUACAUAAGGCAGUUAACUUUAAAAUUUUCUUAUAAUACCACAGAGGAAAUAAACACAACACAAAACAAUUUCCCUGUGAAAACAUACCAGACAACUUAUAGUGAUAAUCUGAUUGGAGAACACUUUGUUCAUUAUAAAAUAUUACAUACUAUAUUUCAAACAUGAUAGAAAUCUAAAAUUAAUCCCUGUCUUCACAUAAAUAAAAUGCCUUAAAAUGCCAUAAGAUAUUGUAUUUCCACCUAAACACCUUUGCGGCCUAAGUCAUCCUCAGGAGCUAUCUGUUCAUGAUAAAAAAGUAAAGUUGCUGUAAAUAAAAUUCAAAUUCCAAAUAUUUUUUAGAGCUCCCCUAUAAGAUACAUCCUAACAUGGAAUUUCAUCUUACAGGAGGGGAUACACUGUCUUUUGCAAAUACUUUCACUCCGCUUCACAACUGGGCAUAUUCUAGUAGUGGUACAGAAACAAAACUGGAAUUCUGGUUUCAGAGAUGACACCAAAUGUGGAAGAGAAAGAAAAUGUUUGAGGCCUAGUAUACUUAUGUUUUUCUAGAUUCAUAAAUAAUGCUACGGGUAGCUUCCAUUCCCAGUCACGACAAAAUAAUUAGUAACGAGCAACUCAUCCAGCCAUAAACCAUUAUAAAACUGGACAAAAUAUUUGAAGCAACUGUUUCAGAUGUUGGAAGACAUUCAGUGCAAAAUUGUGGUUCCUAGGAGAAAGAAAUAACAUGAUAAAGCCCCCCAGUGGCCCUAGCUCUCUGUCUAGACACAGGGAGGUAGAGCCAAAGCAGAACCCAGGGGUCUUGCUGAGCUGAGAAGGAACACAUUCUGAGUUUGAGGCCAAAAUUUUGGACCAGACACCCCGAGAGAAGAGAACUAGGAACUGCAUAGAGAAGAAAUGCCAGAAAUCUGCAGAAAGGUUCUUUUAGGACUUGGUCAAAUAUUAACCUCCUUGUUCAUGUCCAGGGAAAACGAUAAGGUACAACAAUGUAGAUCUGUUGGUGCGAGUGAAAUGAAGAUGCCAGGGGCACAAAGAGCUGGGAGUCACAAGAGUUCUGACCAACCAAAGUAGAGAGGGCUCACCGACACCCUGGGCAUGCAGCUGAGAUCAAUCACACACUUUCGGAGAGAGGCCACUUUAGUUCAAAAGACUCUGUCCUGGCAAAGCUUAUUCACAGGCCUUAAAAGGAGCAACUGAUUCAUAAGGAAAUUAAUUUCCUACCAGAGAAAAAUUCAGCAAUUAUUAAGGAAGACAAGAAAAUACAGAUUCUACAAUUAGGAUUCACAGCAGCAUAUCAAAAAAUUUUACUAGAUGUGCAAAGGAAGUGAAAAAUUUCACUUGCAACAACAGCAACAAGUCAAUAGAGGCAGACUUGAAAUGACAAUGUUGAAAUUAGCAGAUGAGACCUUUAAAAUAGCUAUGAUAGCACCUUUAAGGAUUCAAAAGAAAUAUAAUGAGUAAACAUAACAAAUCUUAGUAGAAAACUGGAAACUACAGAAGACAACCAAAUGAAACUUUUAGAAUUAAAAAAAUAUAAUAUCCUACAUUAAAAAUUCACUGGGUAGGGCUUAACAGCACACUUGAAACUGCAGAAGAAAAAAAUAAGUGACAUGGAAAAUUUGAAAACAAAACAAAACAAAACAAAAUCCAAAACCUCUAUGAACAAAGAAUGAGAAAAGAUUGAAAAAAAUCUCUGCAGACUUUUUGCAAAAAUCUGCAAAUUAAUUCUAAGAUGUACUUGGAAAUGCAAAGGACUUAGAAUAGCCAAAACAGUCUUGAAAAAAAUAAAACUAACGUUGGAAACUGAUUUUACAACCUGCUAUAACGCUGCAAUCAUCGUAAUAAUGUAGUAUUGCUUUAACAUGCACACACACGCGUGGGCGCGCGCGCACACACACAUACACACACACACACACACACACAGUUUAUGUAUUGUAGACCUAAAUGUAAGCAAAAACUACAGAGAAGGAAACAUAGAUUAUCUCUGCAACCUUGGGUUAAGCAAAGAUUUCUUAUAUAGAAUACAAAAGGAUGAACUUAAAUAUUUUUGAUAAAUUAAACUGCCUAAUUAAAACACCUGCUCAUCAGACAUCUUACAACAUAUUAAUUACAUUUAAUGUUUAUUAUAAAUUAUAUUAAAACUAUAAACUAUGAAGAUACAUAUUAUACUUCCCUCAAGCCAUGCACAGGAAGAAAACAUUCUCAACAUGUAUCUGACAAUGAAGUUGUAUGUAGAAUAUAUAUUUUUAAACUGCAAGUCAAUCAAUUAACUACACUUAGUGAUAAACAGAUAACUGGAUUUAAAAAAAGGGCAAACUGGGCCAGGUGCCAUGGCUCAUGCCUGUAAUCCUAGCA
This is a long non-coding RNA of Cebus imitator (Panamanian white-faced capuchin), 6939 nucleotides long. RefSeq lists it as uncharacterized. NCBI's taxonomy places the organism in Eukaryota, Metazoa, Chordata, Mammalia, Primates, Cebidae. The record is from RefSeq and is a predicted model, not a curated record. The transcript is spliced from 4 exons.